AAUAAGUGCAGCAGUGGAAAUCCGUGUCCAACGUUUGACCGUCCGUCUUAUUUGAAAAAACUAUGAAAAAAAUUAAAAAAAGAUAAGUCACGUAUAAAGUAUUAAUCAUAUUUUAUCAUCUAACAACAAUGAAAAUAAGACGGACAGUUAAACGUUGGCACAGAAACCUAUGUUUUGUCUUUUU
This 184-nucleotide microRNA precursor is filed under the name Oryza barthii. Its description in RNAcentral is "MIR812 microRNA precursor family". It matches the Rfam family "MIR812 microRNA precursor family". Lineage: Eukaryota; Viridiplantae; Streptophyta; Magnoliopsida; Poales; Poaceae. The record is from Rfam by way of RNAcentral.